Molecule: long non-coding RNA, 574 nt
Filed under: Homo sapiens (human)
Lineage: Eukaryota; Metazoa; Chordata; Mammalia; Primates; Hominidae
Description: HSALNT0347982
Source: RNAcentral
GGGGGUCCGGAAGUGUUAGGAGCCUCGCGAAGGGUUGGUGUUCAUCUGCUUGCAGAGGAAAGCCAGGUCCAUACCCCUGAACUUCUCAAAUAUUUCCAAUGCUCAUCACUGGGUCUUUUGCAUGGUCAAAAGGGUUGCAGGUGAUUCUUCUGUGUUGUAAAGUUGAAGAGCAGCUUAAUCCACACUUCCUUUUUGGUCUCACUUCUCCCCUUUGUUCCGGUCAAACCCUGACUGCUUCAAAAGGAAAACUGAUAUUUAUCCUGAUUGCCUACUCACUAGAGUUCUGGACCUGUUUUCCAAAGAAUUCCACAGUGGGGGCCACCUUGUACUGGCAGUUGAAAAACAGGAAAUAGACAGAGAUCAUCCAUUUCCCCUGAGUUCACUGAAACACUCCAGUAAGAAGAUUGAAAAUAGCAGACCGGGGCCGAGCGCAGUGGCUCAUGCCUGUAAUCCCAGCACUUUGGGAGGCCGAGGCAGGCUGAUCAUCUGAGGUCAGGAGUUCGAGACCAGCCUGGCCAACAUGGUGAAAUCCUGUCUCUACUAAAAAUACAUAAAAAUAAAUAUAUGUCACUUG